GACGAACGCUGGCGGCGUGCUUAACACAUGCAAGUCGAACGGAAAGGCCCUGCUUUUGUGGGGUGCUCGAGUGGCGAACGGGUGAGUAACACGUGAGUAACCUGCCCUUGACUUUGGGAUAACUUCAGGAAACUGGGGCUAAUACCGGAUAGGAGCUCCUGCUGCAUGGUGGGGGUUGGAAAGUUUCGGCGGUUGGGGAUGGACUCGCGGCUUAUCAGCUUGUUGGUGGGGUAGUGGCUUACCAAGGCUUUGACGGGUAGCCUGCCUGAGAGGGUGACCGGGGUCAUUGGGCCUCAGACACGGCUCAGACUCCUCGCGGAGGCAGCAGGGGGAAAAAUGGCACAAUAGCAGGAAGCAUGUGGCAGCAAUGUCUCGUGCGGGAUGACGGGAUCCGGGUUAUAAAACGAAUUCGCCUGUGAUGAAGCGUGAGGGAAGGUAAUGAGUAAAGAAGCACCGGCUAACUACGGG
RNAcentral lists this ribosomal RNA (468 nucleotides) under uncultured bacterium. RNAcentral describes it as "partial 16S ribosomal RNA". It matches the Rfam family "Bacterial small subunit ribosomal RNA", at positions 28 to 507 of the family's 1533-position model. The record is from RNAcentral.